ACAAGUGCAUAUAAUAAACACAAAAAUCAAUGAUAAUUAUGCCAUUAUAUAAUUCCGAAAAAUUAACGCACUGUAAUCAUAUAAAUCUAUCAGCACUUUAUCAAAUUAAUAACAUUUAUUCUGUGUUAAAAUGCAAGCAAUUUAAUUGGAAUAAACUAUAAGUUAUAUUUUAUGAUAAAUUUGGUAUAUGCUAAUAGAUUACAAUGUCCUUAUAUGGAAAAAAUGCACACUAUUCUCAUAAUAUUAUUUAAAUAUUACAAUUUUAAUGAUGAAUUUUCCAUAACGGAUAUUCAGGUUCAUCGGGCUUAACCUCUAAGCAGUUUCACGUACUGUUUAACUCUCUAUUCAGAGUUCUUUUCAACUUUCCCUCACGGUACUUGUUUACUAUCGGUCUCAUGGUUAUAUUUAGUUUUAGAUGGAGUUUACCACCCACUUAGUGCUGCACUAUCAAGCAACACGACUCUUUGGAAACAUCAUCUAGUAAUCAUUAACGUUAUACGGGCCUGGCACCCUCUAUGGGUAAAUGGCCUCAUUUAAGAAGGACUUAAAUCGUUAAUUUCUCAUACUAGAAUAUUGACGCUCCAUACACUGCAUCUCACAUUUGCCAUAUAGACAAAGUGACUUAGUGCUGAACUGUUUUCUUUUCGCUCGCCGCUACUAAGUCCUUGUUAGUUUCUUUUGCUCCCCUAAUUAAUAUGCUUAAAUUCAGGGGGUAGUCCCAUAUGAGUUGAGGUUGUAUAUAACUUUAUCUUGCCAUAAAUUCUUUAUAUAUAAUGAUAAAACAUUUAAUUAAAUUCGUUAUAACAUUUUUAUUAAUUCUUGUAUGCAAAGUUUUUAUUUAUCCAUUUUUAACGAACCAACGAAGAAUAAUAACAUAACCAAGAUUUUUCUAUUUCCGAAUCAUUAAUAAGAGACAAUUCUAGAUGAAAAAUAUUUCAAUUUUUUAUGCUAGACAUUUCUCAGUAUUAUUUGAUUGAAAAAGAAAAUAUUUCUCUUCGUUUUUCACAUUCAAAUGUGAGAUAAUGUUUUUAAUUUAUUUUUUAAUAUUAUGAAUAAAAAUUAUUAUAUUUAUCCAAUAAUAUACCAUAUGCUUAUAAAAAUUUAUAAGCAACUUAAUUAGCAUAGUCUUACAACCCUCAACCAUAUGUAGUCCAAGCAGCACUAUAAAAUUAAUUAAAGUACAUAACAGCAUGGACUGCGAUAUGCGUUCAAAAUGUCGAUGUUCAUGUGUCCUGCAGUUCACACGAUGACGCACAGUUUGCUGCGUUCUUCAUCGACCCAUGAGCCGAGUGAUCCACCGCUUAGAGUUUUAUAAUUCAUUUUUAUAUAAUGUCAAUUAUGUUUUUAUUGAAAGAAAUUAAAAAUACACCAUUUUACUGGCAUAUAUCAAUUCCUUCAAUAAAUGUAUUUAUAUACCUAAAAUAAAUGUUGCGAAAUGUCUUAGUUUCAUAUAAGCAUUAUGUAUCAUAAUAAUCUGGUUGGUUAUGGGGUUUGCUAUUUUGGGUGACACAUACUCCAAUUUAUAUAAAACAUUAACCUGAUGGAUGCCAGGUACAACAUUGUUUAUUUCAGGUUGUUGCAUUAGCCAACGUAUGCCCAUAACUAAGAUGAACAAUACAUAUUCGCAACGCGUGCAUAGUAAUAAAUAUACACAAAUUUUAAAAAUUAGUUAAUAUCUACCAAUUAUAUUAACACUUAUUUCGAUGAUUACCACACAUUCGAAAUUAUUUUAUUUUGAUUCGACUUCCACUUUCGAAUUUUGUUUCUUCGAUUUUCAUGUUCGAAACAUUAUUUUUAUAGGAAACGCCGUUGUUGUAAGUACUCGCCACAAAUACGCACAACAUACAUUAGAAAUGUUAAAAUCUUUUUAUGAGGUUGCCAAGCCCCACACUAACUAUAUAAAUAAAACCCAUCUUCGUUUUAUUUUGAUUUUAACUUUUGAUUCCAUGGAAUCAUUUUGUUAUAUUUGAGGUAU
This 1975-nucleotide ribosomal RNA is filed under the name Drosophila melanogaster (fruit fly). The record is from RNAcentral. Lineage: Eukaryota; Metazoa; Arthropoda; Insecta; Diptera; Drosophilidae.